CAUAUCAAUAAGCGGAGGAAAAGAAACUAACUAGGAUUCCCUUAGUAACGGCGAGUGAACCGGGAUGAGCUCAAAUUUAAAAUCUGGCGUCUUUCAGGCGUCCGAGUUGUAAUCUAUAGAGGCGUUUUCCGCGCCGGACCGCGUCCAAGUCUCUUGGAAUAGAGUAUCAAAGAGGGUGACAAUCCCGUACUUGACGCGACAACCGGUGCUCUGUGAUACGUUCUCAAUGAGUCGAGUUGUUUGGGAAUGCAGCUCUAAAUGGGUGGUAAAUUCCAUCUAAGGCUAAAUAUUGGCGAGAGACCGAUAGCGAACAAGUACCGUGAGGGAAAGAUGAAAAGCACUUUGGAAAGAGAGUUAAACAGCACGUGAAAUUGUUAAAAGGGAAACGAUUGAAGUCAGUCGUGUGAAAGGUAUUCAGCCGUCUCUGGCGGUGUAUUUGCCUUUCACGGGUCAACAUCAGUUUGAUCCGGUAGAAAAAGGCGGGAGGAAGGUGGCACCCUCGGGUGUGUUAUAGCCUCCUGUCAUAUGUGCCGGACCAGACUGAGGAACGCAGCUUGCCGCAAGGCCGGGGUUCGCCCACGUACAAGCUUAGGAUGUUGACAUAAUGGCUUUAAACGACCCGUCUUGAAACACGG
Molecule: ribosomal RNA, 635 nt
Filed under: Vishniacozyma victoriae
Lineage: Eukaryota; Fungi; Basidiomycota; Tremellomycetes; Tremellales; Bulleribasidiaceae
Description: eukaryotic LSU rRNA
Rfam family: Eukaryotic large subunit ribosomal RNA
Source: RNAcentral